UUCAGGCUGCCGCCGGGCAGUCUGAAUGUGAGAGGGUGGAUUGAUGUAUCGUAGGCCUUAGAGAUACACUCGAUCCACCCUUUAUAAAU
This 89-nucleotide non-coding RNA is filed under the name unclassified sequences. The record is from RNAcentral.